UGUCAGUCUCAUUACAUUGUCAUACAUUUUAUGUCCAGCCUGUAGGCUACAGAAAAGGGCACAUACCUCAUCCUUUAUCUGCUACAUGAUUUAUCUUAGAUCAUUUUUUGGACAGAACAUUGGUGGAGCACUACAGAGAUGCAUCUCUCCAACAGUACCCUGGAGCGGCACACUGGGAAUGGACAAGCUAAAUAUUUUGCGCCCCUGCCUUUGACAAAGUUGCCACUGCUUAUCAAAGGGCGGCAUCAUCAUAUUUGAAAUUGUUGCAUGUUGCGUUCAUAUUUCUGUUCAGUAUAGAUUGCUGAAUUAGAACUAGAUUCAAUCAGUUCUGCGUUAACCCGCGAUAACCGACAACUGCAUAGCAGUUUCAUUGUUUUUAUUUAGGCAAUCUCAGAGGUGUAUUAUUGCAUUGGGGCUGUCAAAUCAGACAAUGGCUCCUGGCGUUAUACCUAUCGCUGACAUUGCCAUUGGAUGCACCGACUCUUAUUAGUAAUAAUCCCAUGCAACCUUGUUACAAGUUGGAACACUGGAAUGUGUGAUGUAAUAUACACCUGCGUUAGGUUGAUAUGAAUCCUUAUUUUGUUUAAUGAUUUUCAAUUUGAGUGUAAUUACACUUUCUCGUUCUGAACUUCUUAUGUGAGUGGGACAGCUGUAGCUUGGUGACAAUGACCACUGGAGCAGACGCUCACCGAUUUCACAGCUAGCAGUUACACCUUUUAUACCAUCAAAACACCAGCUAUGCGGUUGUCGGCUAUUGCCGGUUAGCGCUUGAUCGGAUUGAAUCUAAGCCUUUGUCCAGCUAUCUAACUUGUAGUAAUCAUGGUAGAAUGACUGACCAGUGGUCUCCCCAUUGAUUUUGUUAGUUACUCUUACUCAGAUUUCUAAAUGUUGCUUAGGGCCCCCCAAAGGCUAAGGCCUGUUCUGACUGCAUGUGUGGGUAUGGCUGUAGGUACGCAGACCCGCGAGCCACUGUGGCCCGCAUGAUGAGUUCGGAUUUUUUGUGGCCCCCAACCCAAUCAAGGUUGUCCAUCUCUGCUCUAAACUAAAUGAGGUCAGCUUAGAAAAUGUUGUCAAAAGUGUAGGAUAAGAUGGUUUGGGCUAAUUAGGCUACAUCUACACAGGCAGGCCAAUUCUGAUAUUUUUUCCACUAAUUGGUCUUUUGACCAAUCACAUCAGAUCUUUUCACAUUACAUAUUUUUCUGAGCUGAUCUGAUUGGUCUGCCUGUGUAAAUGCAGCAUUGGUGGUUCACGGCAGAGAAAAGUUGGAUACUGCUGGUUAUGUAUCUGUGGCUUGUAUGCUUUUAAGGAGCUUUGGCACUUCUCAUUUCAUGAGAUUACUCUGGACCCUGUGGUCUCUUAUGUUGCUAUGAGAGCACUAGGGCCACAGAGAUUAUUUAUAUUCAUUUGGACACAUUCUUCAGAACCUCCAAGAUCAACUGGCGGUGGCAGCCUAGACCAGCUGGAUCAAAAGUGCAAAUGACAAACAAUCUUGUCCCAUCGCUGCAACUCCCGUACGGACUCGGGAGAGGCGAAGGUCGAGAGCCGUGCGUCCACGGAAACACAACCCAGCCAAGCCGCACUGCUUCUUGACCCAAUGCCCGCUGAACCCGGAAGCCAGCCACACCAAUGUGUCAGCGUUGUACUGCGCCCCGGCCCGCCACAGAAGUCGCUAGUGAGCAAUGGGACAAGAACAUCCCUGACGGCCAAACCCUCCCCUAACCCGGACGACGCUGGGCCAAUUCUGCGCCGCCCCAUGGGUCUCCCAGUCGUGGCCAGCUUCUGGACUCGAACCAGGAUCUCUAGUGACACAGCUAGCUCUGCGAUGCAGCGUCUUAGACCACUGCGCCACUCGGGAGGCUGCCUAAAGAUAGUUUUUGAAGUUUGUUUUACGUGUGGAUAAGCUAGGUACAGGACAUGAAAUCCACUUGCCUGCGUGUGUUGUUAGGGCCAUUCAAGCAAUUUAUCCCUGACAAGAUGGACAUUAUGUUGGAUACAAAUUUGAUGUUGAUGACUCGAGGAGAUGUGAAAGGUCCAUAACAACAAUCACCCCUUGUAUUAAAGUGACUCCGAACACCCUGCACCCACCAAACACAGCAUAUCCAAGUAUUCCCUUUGUAGAACUGUAGUAUUUAUUAUAGACGUUAGUAGUAUCUUUCUCUUCUACUGUAUAUAUGUAAUACAUUGCCAUAACUGUUCCUGCAUUCUGCUGUGUAAACUCACCUCGGUCUUCAGAGUAAAUCAAAUUUAUCUUGAAUACAAUCCAUGUCUACUUAGUAUUUGCUACUUAUUUACUUGCCAACAAAUGAAAGUUUAAAUGAU
This is a long non-coding RNA of Salvelinus fontinalis (brook trout), 2319 nucleotides long. RefSeq lists it as uncharacterized. The record is from RefSeq and is a predicted model, not a curated record. The transcript is spliced from 2 exons. Lineage: Eukaryota; Metazoa; Chordata; Actinopteri; Salmoniformes; Salmonidae.